RNAcentral lists this transfer RNA (71 nucleotides) under Caerostris extrusa. RNAcentral describes it as "tRNA-Pro". It matches the Rfam family "tRNA". Rfam says of the family: Transfer RNA (tRNA) molecules are approximately 80 nucleotides in length. Their secondary structure includes four short double-helical elements and three loops (D, anti-codon, and T loops). Further hydrogen bonds mediate the characteristic L-shaped molecular structure. tRNAs have two regions of fundamental functional importance: the anti-codon, which is responsible for specific mRNA codon recognition, and the 3' end, to which the tRNAs corresponding amino acid is attached (by aminoacyl-tRNA synthetases). tRNAs cope with the degeneracy of the genetic code in two manners: having more than one tRNA (with a specific anti-codon) for a particular amino acid; and 'wobble' base-pairing, i.e. permitting non-standard base-pairing at the 3rd anti-codon position. RNAcentral also lists the same sequence under 1 other name. The record is from RNAcentral. Lineage: Eukaryota; Metazoa; Arthropoda; Arachnida; Araneae; Araneidae.
GGCUCGGUGGUCUAGGGUAUGAUUCUCGCUUAGGGUGCGAGAGGUCCCGGGUUCAAAUCCCGGCCGAGCCC